This 330-nucleotide ribosomal RNA is filed under the name Triticum aestivum (bread wheat). RNAcentral's name for it is "partial small subunit ribosomal RNA". The record is from RNAcentral. Lineage: Eukaryota; Viridiplantae; Streptophyta; Magnoliopsida; Poales; Poaceae.
AUGGAGUACCCUUUGGAACAUCCCCCGGUUAAUCCUCUUCCGGGCUCAUGGACGGAGAUGGAGCUGGCCAUUGUGGAGGCUGCGCAGGUGCGCUUGUUCAUGAGGAAGCCUGCCCAGGGGUUAGCAGAGCUGGAGGACAAGCAUCACCACACCAUAAGCGUGUUCAUAGAGGAAGCUGGACGUGCCCAGGGCGAUUCCCGUGGCGUUGUCCAUGGGCAUGUCUGUGCCGGUGGCCGGGACGUUGAUGGUCUCGGUGGGGUUGAAGUGGUGGUCAGAGUGCUGGUGGCCACUGUUAUUCAUCACCAUGGACGUGCUCACGGUUGUAAUUAG